GACACGAUGGCCGAGUGGUCUAAGGCGGUAGAUUUAAGCUCUGCUUGGAUCUCUACUACAGAAAUGUGCGUGGGUUCGAACCCCACUCGUGUCA
Molecule: non-coding RNA, 94 nt
Organism: Alternaria incomplexa
Lineage: Eukaryota; Fungi; Ascomycota; Dothideomycetes; Pleosporales; Pleosporaceae
Source: the annotation of a RefSeq genome assembly